GCACCCGUAGCUCAGCUGGAUAGAGCGCUGCCCUCCGAAGGCACGGGCGAGAGGCUGGAACAGUCUCUGGUGGA
RNAcentral lists this transfer RNA (74 nucleotides) under Sphingomonadaceae bacterium. RNAcentral's name for it is "tRNA-Arg". Lineage: Bacteria; Pseudomonadati; Pseudomonadota; Alphaproteobacteria; Sphingomonadales; Sphingomonadaceae. The record is from RNAcentral.